Molecule: transfer RNA, 72 nt
Rfam family: tRNA
About the family: Transfer RNA (tRNA) molecules are approximately 80 nucleotides in length. Their secondary structure includes four short double-helical elements and three loops (D, anti-codon, and T loops). Further hydrogen bonds mediate the characteristic L-shaped molecular structure. tRNAs have two regions of fundamental functional importance: the anti-codon, which is responsible for specific mRNA codon recognition, and the 3' end, to which the tRNAs corresponding amino acid is attached (by aminoacyl-tRNA synthetases). tRNAs cope with the degeneracy of the genetic code in two manners: having more than one tRNA (with a specific anti-codon) for a particular amino acid; and 'wobble' base-pairing, i.e. permitting non-standard base-pairing at the 3rd anti-codon position.
Source: Rfam
GCCGGGGUGGGUUAGUGGUUAUGCUAAAGGACUGUGGAUCCUUUGACUCGGGUUCGAAUCCCGACCUCGGCC